This 72-nucleotide transfer RNA is filed under the name Camelus dromedarius (Arabian camel). It matches the Rfam family "tRNA". Rfam says of the family: Transfer RNA (tRNA) molecules are approximately 80 nucleotides in length. The record is from Rfam by way of RNAcentral. RNAcentral also lists the same sequence under 1 other name. Lineage: Eukaryota; Metazoa; Chordata; Mammalia; Artiodactyla; Camelidae.
GUAUAUAUAGCUCAGUGGCAGAGCGCGUGCUUAGCAUGCACCAGGUCCUGGGUUCAAUCCCCAGUACCUCCA